RNAcentral lists this non-coding RNA (19 nucleotides) under Arabidopsis thaliana (thale cress). Lineage: Eukaryota; Viridiplantae; Streptophyta; Magnoliopsida; Brassicales; Brassicaceae. The record is from RNAcentral.
CGAUUUUUAGGGUUAACGG